AACGAACGCUGGCGGCAUGCCUAACACAUGCAAGUCGAACGGGAUCCUGGUUUCGGCCAGGUGAGAGUGGCGGACGGGUGAGUAACGCGUGGGAACCUGCCCAGUGGUGGGGGAUAACUGCGGGAAACUGCAGCUAAUACCGCAUGAGCCCGAAAGGGGAAAGAUUGAUCGCCAUUGGAGGGGCCCGCGUUCGAUUAGGUAGUUGGUGAGGUAACGGCUCACCAAGCCUUCGANCGAUAGCUGGUCUGAGAGGAUGAUCAGCCACACUGGGACUGAGAUACGGCCC
RNAcentral lists this ribosomal RNA (286 nucleotides) under uncultured bacterium. RNAcentral's name for it is "partial 16S ribosomal RNA". It matches the Rfam family "Bacterial small subunit ribosomal RNA", at positions 29 to 332 of the family's 1533-position model. The record is from RNAcentral.